This is a long non-coding RNA of Canis lupus familiaris (dog), 205 nucleotides long. RefSeq lists it as uncharacterized. The transcript has 3 exons. The record is from RefSeq and is a predicted model, not a curated record. Lineage: Eukaryota; Metazoa; Chordata; Mammalia; Carnivora; Canidae.
CCUCCGUAGCCGACGUCUUCCGGCGCUGACCCGGCGCUCGGCGCUCGGGGAGGGAUUUUCUAGUGUUUGGAAUUUCAGAGCGUGGAAGGAGGUACCGGCCCUUGAGGCCUCUAACCCUGGCUCCUGCAACGGGAGUACUUGACAAGAAGGGAGAUUGGCGUCGAUGUCAGCUAUGAAAGAAUGCAGCAGAAGUGGCUGUUGCCAA